CGGGCCGUAGCGUAGCUUGGUUAUCGCGCCUGUCUGGGGGGCAGGAGAUCGCUGGUUCGAAUCCAGUCGGCCCGACCA
Molecule: transfer RNA, 78 nt
Filed under: Vulcanimicrobiota bacterium
Lineage: Bacteria; Bacillati; Vulcanimicrobiota
Description: tRNA-Pro
Rfam family: tRNA
About the family: Transfer RNA (tRNA) molecules are approximately 80 nucleotides in length. Their secondary structure includes four short double-helical elements and three loops (D, anti-codon, and T loops).
Source: RNAcentral